AUCCUCAGUAUAGCGCUGAGCAUGCCUCAUCACUCCUAUCUGGUCUCAGAGAUGAGGCAGGUUCAGGCCUGGUCUAUACUUGGAUGAAAGACCACCUGGAAAUACCAGGNACUGUAGACU
Molecule: ribosomal RNA, 120 nt
Filed under: Salvator merianae (Argentine black and white tegu)
Lineage: Eukaryota; Metazoa; Chordata; Lepidosauria; Squamata; Teiidae
Source: RNAcentral